AAGGCGAUCAACUCUUUACAGAUGCUCAUAUGCUGGGAGAUUUGGAAUGAAAGGAAUGCGUGGGCUUUCCGCAACAAGGCAUCCCUGCCCACUCAAGUGGCGGCGACAAUCAUGAACGAGGCGAGGACUUGGGUAAUUGUUGGGGCUAUAUUUGUAGGAAACAUUUCACCGGGAGAGUGA
This 180-nucleotide ribosomal RNA is filed under the name Triticum aestivum (bread wheat). RNAcentral's name for it is "partial small subunit ribosomal RNA". The record is from RNAcentral. Lineage: Eukaryota; Viridiplantae; Streptophyta; Magnoliopsida; Poales; Poaceae.